Molecule: long non-coding RNA, 1276 nt
Filed under: Anas platyrhynchos platyrhynchos (common mallard)
Lineage: Eukaryota; Metazoa; Chordata; Aves; Anseriformes; Anatidae
Description: lncRNA (ENSAPLG00000019118.1)
Source: RNAcentral
UUGCACACUUGCACACAUGAAGGUGCACAAACAUGCAUGCAGACACAUGCACACACGUGCACACCCACAAACGUGCACCCACCCAGCUGCAUGCAAACAAAUGCACGCACUUUUGUGCAGACACACGGAGACACACGCACACCACGUGCACAUACAUGCAGAUGCAUGUACACGCACACUUGCAGACGCAUGCAUGCACACACUUACACACAGCUGCAUGCGCAUGCAUGCACACACAUGCACACAGACCACGUGCAUGCAUGCACACCCUUGCACACUCACACGCACACACAUGUGCACACCCCCAGCCACACACCCCCUGCACGCAAGCACACGCCUGCACACGAGCCCAGCGUGCUCACGCGUGCACACACGUGUCCGGGCGUGCACGCACACGCACACGCGUGCCCGUGGGGCCUGGCGCAGCCCCAGCCCGGCGCCGCCGGUGACUCACCCGCUCCCCGCCGCAUCGAUCCCCAUCAAUCUCCCCCCGGGACCCCCCGCUCCGCGCCCGCCGCUCGCUGGCCCCGCAUCGGCUGCGCGGGGCACACGGGGGGGGGGGGGGGGGGGGGGGGGCGGUCGCCCCGGCAACGGUCGCCAUGGAGCCCGCAGCAUCCCCGCAGCAUCACCCCCCCCCCACGCUGGACCACGGCCCCCGCUUGUAUAAGGGGGGUGCUUCGGGGUGAGGGGGUUGCACGGUCAACGGGGGGGUUGCAUGGGUGUAUGGGGGCUUGGGUUUGUGGGGGGGGGGGGGGGGGGGGAGGGGGGGGGGAGGAAUGGGGCAAGGGGGGGAGAAGGAGGGAAAAGGGGAAGGAAAAGAGAAGGAAAAGGAAGGAAAGGGAAGAAAAAGGGAGAAAAGGGAAGGAAAAGGGAGAAAAGGGAAGAAAAAAGGAAGGAAAGGGAAGAAAAAGGGAGAAAAGGGAAGAAAAAGGGAGAAAAGGGAAGAAAAGGGAAGAAAAGGGAAAGAAAGGGGAAAGAAAAAGGGAGGAAAGGGGAAAGGGGAAGGAAAGGGGAAGGAAAGGGAAAGAAAACGGGAAAGAAAAGGGAAGGAAAAGAAAAGGAAAAGGGAAGGAAAACUGAAAGGAAAUGGAAAGAAAAUGGAAGAAAAGGGAAGGAAAAUGGAAAGAAAAAGGAAGGAAAAGAGGAAGAAAAAGGGAAGAAAAAAAGGAAGAAAAAAGGAAGAAAAAGGGCAAGGAAAGGGAAAGAAAGGAGAAAGAAAGGAGAAAGAAAGGGGAAAGAAAAGGGAAAAAAAAUAAAAAAAAGGAAAAGAGGGGCA